GAAUGCUGACAUAAGUAACGAUAAAGCGGGUGAAAAGCCCGCUCGCCGGAAGACCAAGGGUUCCUGUCCAACGUUAAUCGGGGCAGGGUGAGUCGACCCCUAAGGCGAGGCCGAAAGGCGUAGUCGAUGGGAAACAGGUUAAUAUUCCUGUACUUGGUGUUACUGCGAAGGGGGGACGGAGAAGGCUAUGUUGGCCGGGCGACGGUUGUCCCGGUUUAAGCGUGUAGGCUGGUUUUCCAGGCAAAUCCGGAAAAUCAAGGCUGAGGCGUGAUGACGAGGCACUACGGUGCUGAAGCAACAAAUGCCCUGCUUCCAGGAAAAGCCUCUAAGCAUCAGGUAACAUCAAAUCGUACCCCAAACCGACACAGGUGGUCAGGUAGAGAAUACCAAGGCGCUUGAGAGAACUCGGGUGAAGGAACUAGGCAAAAUGGUGCCGUAACUUCGGGAGAAGG
RNAcentral lists this ribosomal RNA (452 nucleotides) under Escherichia coli. RNAcentral describes it as "bacterial LSU rRNA". It matches the Rfam family "Bacterial large subunit ribosomal RNA", at positions 1292 to 1746 of the family's 2925-position model. The record is from RNAcentral. Lineage: Bacteria; Pseudomonadati; Pseudomonadota; Gammaproteobacteria; Enterobacterales; Enterobacteriaceae. RNAcentral also lists the same sequence under 1 other name.